This 75-nucleotide transfer RNA is filed under the name Bacillota bacterium. RNAcentral's name for it is "Firmicutes bacterium (anaerobic digester metagenome) tRNA-Gly". It matches the Rfam family "tRNA". Rfam says of the family: Transfer RNA (tRNA) molecules are approximately 80 nucleotides in length. Their secondary structure includes four short double-helical elements and three loops (D, anti-codon, and T loops). Further hydrogen bonds mediate the characteristic L-shaped molecular structure. tRNAs have two regions of fundamental functional importance: the anti-codon, which is responsible for specific mRNA codon recognition, and the 3' end, to which the tRNAs corresponding amino acid is attached (by aminoacyl-tRNA synthetases). tRNAs cope with the degeneracy of the genetic code in two manners: having more than one tRNA (with a specific anti-codon) for a particular amino acid; and 'wobble' base-pairing, i.e. permitting non-standard base-pairing at the 3rd anti-codon position. Lineage: Bacteria; Bacillati; Bacillota. RNAcentral also lists the same sequence under 1 other name. The record is from RNAcentral.
GCGGAAGUGGCUCAGUGGUGGAGCAUCGCCUUGCCAAGGCGAGGGUCGCGGGUUCGAAUCCCGUCUUCCGCUCCA